Small nuclear RNA from Rattus norvegicus (Norway rat), 129 nucleotides. Ensembl annotates it as U1 spliceosomal RNA. NCBI's taxonomy places the organism in Eukaryota, Metazoa, Chordata, Mammalia, Rodentia, Muridae. The record is from Ensembl.
CAUCUUAAGAGAGAGAGAGAGAGGCUUAUCCAUUGUACUUGGGUUAUGCUGGCCCCUGUGACUUCUCCAAAGGCAGGAAACUCAACUGCAUAAUUUGUGGGAUUGGGUCUAUGCUCACACUUUUCCCUU